Molecule: long non-coding RNA, 659 nt
Organism: Phacochoerus africanus (Common warthog)
Lineage: Eukaryota; Metazoa; Chordata; Mammalia; Artiodactyla; Suidae
Exons: 5
Source: RefSeq, a predicted model, not a curated record
GCGGUCACGCAAAGCGAGGCUGCCGGCUCCCGGCUCGGCGCAAGGCAGCCUGGGAAAUGUAGUUCCCUCUCUUCGCUUGGACCCGCGUGGGCACCCCAAGACUCCGCGGAACGCAGCCCCACCUCCACGUUAGGUUGGAAGCUCCGCUUUCAUUCGGUCUACGCAGAUAAAUCGCUCUUGAUGGUGGGGAUGGGGGUCUGGUGAGUGGAUGCGGAGACCCCCAGGAGCUGACGGGGACUACAUUUCCCAAAAUGUCGCGCGCUGGGCUUCGUUCCGCGCUGAGUAGAGACCCGUGAUUGAGAUCUUCCCUGUCGUUUAGAAGAGGGUGCUGGGAGUGCUGUGAGCAGAGAGGAAAAACAGAAUCAAGCGGAGGGCAAUAGAAUUCCAGAGCUGCAUAUCCCUUUGGACCUGAUGGAUAAAGAAAGGAGCCAUAUGCCUCUUAGUCAUAAAAAGAGAACAUUCGAAGGACCAUUCAAGCAAAUACGUCUAAGCCACUGAGAUAUUGUUAAUUGGCGAAGACAGAUGCAGAGAGGAGCUCAGACAGAAGGAGCUGAGAUUUUCUAUUCCUCAUCUGAAGGUGCCUGGGUUCCAGGAGAUCAACCCCGGAAACCUGGCCAAUUAGCUGUCGAUGUCGCUCAAGAUCAAAACACCACCUGUGA